Molecule: RNA transcript, 2507 nt
Organism: Cervus elaphus (red deer)
Lineage: Eukaryota; Metazoa; Chordata; Mammalia; Artiodactyla; Cervidae
Gene: PGS1
Gene name: phosphatidylglycerophosphate synthase 1
Exons: 11
Source: RefSeq, a predicted model, not a curated record
CGCGCCGGAAGCGGAAGCGGAAGCGGCGAGUCUCCAUGGCGGCGGCGGCGGCGGCGGCAGGGCCGGUGUUCUGGAGGCGGCUGCUGGGCCUUCUGCCUGGCCGCCCCGGGCUGGCUGCGCUCCUGGGGCGCCUGUCCGACCGCCUCGGCAGGAACCCGGACCGCCGGCGCAGGAGGUCACCAUGGCUGCUGUUGGCUCCUCUGCUGUCCCCCGCGGUCCCCGUGGUCACCUCGCCUCCCUGCUGCCUGUGUGCAGAGGGCGUGCAUCGCUUCCAGUGGAUCAGAAACCUGGUUCCAGAGUUUGGCGUCUCCAGCUCUCACGUCAGGGUGCUUUCUUCCCCAGCAGAGUUUUUUGAGCUCAUGAAGGGGCAGAUAAAAGUAGCCAAGAGGCGGGUCGUGAUGGCAUCCCUCUACCUGGGGAUAGGUCCUCUGGAACAGGAGCUGGUGGAUUGCCUAGAAAGCACUCUAGAAAAGUCACUCCAGGCGAAGUUUCCUUCCGACCUCAGGGUGUCCAUCCUCUUAGACUUCACGAGGGGCUCGAGAGGAAGGAAGAACUCGCGCACGAUGCUGCUCCCGCUCCUGCAGAGGUUUCCAGAACAGGUCCGCGUCUCGCUUUUCCACACGCCUAACCUGCGUGGGCUUCUGCGGCUCCUCAUCCCUGAGCGCUUCAAUGAGACCAUUGGCCUGCAGCACAUCAAGGUGUACCUCUUCGACAACAACAUCAUCCUCAGCGGUGCAAACCUGAGUGACUCCUACUUCACCAACCGGCAGGACCGCUACGUGUUCUUGCAGGACUGUCCCGAGAUCGCCGACUUCUUCACGGAGCUGGUGGACGCGGUAGGGGACGUGUCCCUGCAGCUGCAGGGGGAUGACACGGUGCAGGUGGUCGAGGGGAUGGUGCAUCCUUACAAAGGUGACCGGGCUGCGUACUGCAAGGCGGCCAAUAAGAGGGUCAUGGACGUGAUCAACUCUGCCAGGACGCGCCAGCAGAUGCUGCACGCCCAGACCUUCCACAGCGACUCCCUCCUGACCCAGGAGGACGCCGCCGCCGCUGGAGACCGGAGGCCGGCCCCCGACACCUGGAUCUACCCCCUGAUCCAGAUGAAGCCCUUUGAGAUUCAGAUCGACGAGAUUGUCACCGAGACCCUGCUGACAGAGGCCGAGCGAGGUGCUAAGGUCUACCUCACCACUGGCUACUUCAACCUGACCCAGGCCUACAUGGACCUGGUCUUGGGCACGCGGGCCGAGUACCAGAUCCUGCUGGCCUCGCCGGAGGUGAACGGCUUCUUCGGGGCCAAGGGGGUGGCGGGCGCCAUCCCGGCCGCCUACGUGCACAUCGAGCGGCAGUUCUACAGCGAGGUGUGCAGCCUGGGGCAGCAGGAGCGGGUGCGGCUGCAGGAGUACUGGCGCAGGGACUGGACGUUCCACGCCAAAGGCCUCUGGCUGUACCUGGCAGGGAGCAGCCUGCCCUGUCUCACGUUGAUUGGCUCUCCUAAUUUUGGGUACAGGUCGGUUCACCGGGACCUGGAGGCCCAGAUUGCCAUCGUAACGGAGAGCCGGGCCCUGCAGCAGCAGUUUCACCAGGAGCAGGAGCAGCUCUACCGCAGGGCAGGUGUGGUGUCCUCUGCCACCUUUGAGCAGCCAAGCCGGCAGGUGAAGCUGUGGGUGAAGAUGGUAACUCCGCUGAUCAAGAACUUCUUCUGAGGACGGCAGAUGCUGUGGGCCAGAGCGAGCCUGUGCCACGGCCAGGCUUGAGCAAUAGGCGGCCUGCUCGCUUUGUGUCUGCCGCCUGCCUUCAGGACGGUCCUGGGGGAGGGGGCUCCCCUCUCCCCCUGGAGCUCGCCCCAGCCUGGGCCCCUGCCCUUCUGCCCUCUCCGGGACUGCUGCCGUGCCCACGGCACUUUCAGAUGCAGCACAGCGCUCGUCCCAGUCUGUCUCCCCGAGACUGGAUUGCAGCUCCAAGGGAUGGCCUUGAUGAAGAUGACGGGCAUGGCUGGCGUCAGCUCUUUCAGCCGCGCUUCGGCAAUGACUCCGAUCUGGGUGUCCCAGCGAGCUCCUGCAGGGGCGGCACGUCUGAGGGUCAGGGUGGCCCACGGUGAGGUGACUGGCUCGCGCCCCCACCCCUGCUGAGAUGGGCCAGGGCCGGACUGGCACCAGGAUCACCACACGUGGGGCUGCGAGCGGAGGGCGUGGCGGGGGCGUGUGUGUCUCGCUGAGAACGUCCGGGGGCCGGCUCAGCCCUGGACCAUUGUUUACAUUCGUGGUGUUUUCAGAGCCUCGUGUGUCAGCCGUCUUGAUUUCGGGGGCAGGAAACCAUAACUCCAGCUCAAAGUGACCGAUUAAAGCUCCCCGCUCCCCUCCCCUGUGGCGUCUGUCCCGUGUCCCUGCGCAGUAUAAACGUGUAUACGCACAUAGAACUGUUGUUGCCUUGAACCAGAGUUAUUUCUACUCACCCUAUUUAAUGACGCUGAGAUUUCCUGUAAUUCCACAAUAAACAUGGAGAACGUC